AUUUUUCAUCGCAUUUCAAAUUUCGAAAUUUCAUUAAAAGGUUCAGUUUGAAAAUUAACGACGAAAUUAUAACUGCAUACGUAAAGUCUUCUCAACUAUAAUUCAAAUAAUGGCGAGUAUUCAGUGGAAAUAUGUUUAUAUACAUCCAACAACAAAAA
Ceratitis capitata (Mediterranean fruit fly) is the source of this 158-nucleotide long non-coding RNA. RefSeq lists it as uncharacterized. The transcript is spliced from 3 exons. The record is from RefSeq and is a predicted model, not a curated record. Lineage: Eukaryota; Metazoa; Arthropoda; Insecta; Diptera; Tephritidae.